AUUGAACGCUGGCGGCAUGCUUUACACAUGCAAGUCGAACGGCAGCGCGGGCUUCGGCCUGGCGGCGAGUGGCGAACGGGUGAGUAAUACAUCGGAACGUGCCCAGUAGUGGGGGAUAGCUCGGCGAAAGCCGGAUUAAUACCGCAUACGACCUGAGGGUGAAAGCGGGGGAUCUUCGGACCUUGCGCUAUUGGAGCGGCCGAUGGCCGAUUAGCUAGUUGGUGGGGUAAAGGCCUACCAAGGCGACGAUCUGUAGCUGGUCUGAGAGGACGACCAGCCACACUGGGACUGAGACACGGCCCAGACUCCUACGGGAGGCAGCAGUGGGGAAUAUUGGACAAUGGGCGAAAGCCUGAUCCAGCAAUGCCGCGUGUGUGAUGAAGGCCUUCGGGUUGUAAAGCACUUUUGGCGGGAACGAAAAGGACUGUGCCAAUACCACGGUUCGAUGACGGUACCCACAGAAUAAGCACCGGCUAACUACGUG
RNAcentral lists this ribosomal RNA (484 nucleotides) under uncultured bacterium. RNAcentral describes it as "partial 16S ribosomal RNA". It matches the Rfam family "Bacterial small subunit ribosomal RNA", at positions 29 to 507 of the family's 1533-position model. The record is from RNAcentral.